RNAcentral lists this ribosomal RNA (443 nucleotides) under uncultured bacterium. Its description in RNAcentral is "partial 16S ribosomal RNA". It matches the Rfam family "Bacterial small subunit ribosomal RNA", at positions 338 to 795 of the family's 1533-position model. The record is from RNAcentral.
CCUACGUGUGACAGCAGUGGGGAAUAUUGGACAAUGGGGGGAACCCUGAUCCAGCGACGCCGCGUGAGUGAAGACGUAUUUCGGUAUGUAAAGCUCUAUCAUCAGGGAAGCAAGGAAUGACGGUACCUGACUACGCAGCCCCGGCUAACUACGUGCCAGCCGCCGCGGUAAUACGUAGGGGGCACGCGUUAUCCGGCUUUACGGGGUGUAAAGGGAGCGUAGACGGUUCUGCAAGUCUGGAGUGAAAGGCGGGGGCCCAACCCCCGAACUGCAUUGGAAACUGUAUAACUGGAGUGCAGGAGAGGGAAGUGGAAUUCCUAGGGUAGCAGUGAAAUGCGUAGAUAUGAGGAGGAACACCAGUGGCGAAGGCGGCUUACUGGACUGUAACUGACGUUGAGGCUCGAAAGCGUGGGGAGCAAACAGGAUUAGAUACCCCUGUAGUC